CCGAUAAGACUGGGAAUAACCUCCGGAAACGGGAAGCUAAUUCCGGAUACGUUGGCGUCUCGCAUGGGGCGUCAUGGAAAGACGGAGCAAUCUGUCACUUAUCGAUGGGCCUGCGGCGCAUUAGCUAGUAGGUGGGGUAACGGCUCACCUAGGCGACGAUGCGUAGCCGACCUGAGAGGGUGAACGGCCACACUGGGACUGAGACACGGCCCAGACUCCUACGGGAGGCAGCAGUAGGGAAUCUUCGGCAAUGGACGCAAGUCUGACCGAGCAACGCCGCGUGAGUGAAGAAGGGUUUCGGCUCGUAAAACUCUGUUGCCAAGGAAGAACGCUGAGUAGAGUAACUGCUAUUCAGGUGACGGUACUUGAGAAGAAAGCCCCGGCUAACUACGUGCCAGCAGCCGCGGUAAUACGUAGGGGGCAAGCGUUGUCCGGAAUUAUUGGGCGUAAAGCGCGCGCAGGCGGUUUUUUAAGUCUGGUGUUUAAACCUAGGGCUCAACCUUGGGUCGCACUGGAAACUGGGGAACUGGAGUGCAGGAGAGGAAAGUGGAAUUCCACGUGUAGCGGUGAAAUGCGUAGAGAUGUGGAGGAACACCAGUGGCGAAGGCGACUUUCUGGCCUGUAACUGACGCUGAGGCGCGAAAGCGUGGGGAGCAAACAGGAUUAGAUACCCUGGUAGUCCACGCCGUAAACGAUGCAUGCUAGGUGUUAGGGGUUUCGAUACCCUUGGUGCCGAAGUAAACACAGUAAGCAUGCCGCCUGGGGAGUACGCUCGCAAGAGUGAAACUCAAAGGAAUUGA
This 800-nucleotide ribosomal RNA is filed under the name Bacillus sp. 22HD8. Its description in RNAcentral is "bacterial SSU rRNA". It matches the Rfam family "Bacterial small subunit ribosomal RNA", at positions 129 to 913 of the family's 1533-position model. The record is from RNAcentral. Lineage: Bacteria; Bacillati; Bacillota; Bacilli; Caryophanales; Bacillaceae.